Molecule: ribosomal RNA, 465 nt
Filed under: Vreelandella stevensii
Lineage: Bacteria; Pseudomonadati; Pseudomonadota; Gammaproteobacteria; Oceanospirillales; Halomonadaceae
Description: partial 16S ribosomal RNA
Rfam family: Bacterial small subunit ribosomal RNA
Source: RNAcentral
CCUACGGGAGGCAGCAGUGGGGAAUAUUGGACAAUGGGGGGAACCCUGAUCCAGCCAUGCCGCGUGUGUGAAGAAGGCCCUCGGGUUGUAAAGCACUUUCAGUGAGGAAGAACGCCUGGUGGUUAAUACCCAUCAGGAAAGACAUCACUCACAGAAGAAGCACCGGCUAACUCCGUGCCAGCAGCCGCGGUAAUACGGAGGGUGUGAGCGUUAAUCGGAAUUACUGGGCGUAAAGCGCGCGUAGGUGGCUUGAUAAGCCGGUUGUGAAAGCCCCGGGCUCAACCUGGGAACGGCAUCCGGAACUGUCAAGCUAGAGUGCAGGAGAGGAAGGUAGAAUUCCCGGUGUAGCGGUGAAAUGCGUAGAGAUCGGGAGGAAUACCAGUGGCGAAGGCGGCCUUCUGGACUGACACUGACACUGAGGUGCGAAAGCGUGGGUAGCAAACAGGAUUAGAUACCCGAGUAGUC